Molecule: long non-coding RNA, 520 nt
Organism: Bolinopsis microptera
Lineage: Eukaryota; Metazoa; Ctenophora; Tentaculata; Lobata; Bolinopsidae
Exons: 4
Source: RefSeq, a predicted model, not a curated record
CUUGUAGUUUCCUGUAGACUCACAACUGUUCUCGUCAGAUUAGCGACAUCGCUAAAAUAGUGAGGAAUGCCACUGCUACUAUAACGAAACGAUUGAAGGAGUUUUCAGAGACUCCCAGUAGUAAACUGAGUAUUGAGGAAUUUGAGAAUGUUGAUCUGGGAGAAGAGGAAGAUCCUCCCGCUUUUAAAGCUCUUAAAAUAAAGAACAAAUCCCGAGAGUCUGAUCUUUCUCUGGUGGAACGAGAAGUGUGUCAAUACCAGAAAGAGUUGGAACAGGAGAUUAAAGUCCAGGGGACGGUUAAAGGUGACGAGGGGGCUGAAGUAGACUCCUCUUCUCUUUACAAACCCCCUCCUUUUAUGGAGAAGACUCCUAGCUGUAGCACUUCUGGAGCACAAGGUCAAGGUAUCAGAACAGCCUACGGUCUGAUUCCUAACUACCUGGACGGAGAGGGAGCUGAGAAAAGAGAUGCUAAUCCUCCUAACGAGAAGGAAACUGUAUCUGCAGCACAGGAUGAAGUGAA